CUGUUCAGUUACAGCUGAACCAAAGAGUCAGAGUAACGUUACAGGCUCUGUGCUGUGAAAAUCCAGGAUGUAGAGAUAGGCCAUUACGUGUGUGCUUGAAGUGUUAAGGAAGAACCCGUGCCGAUUAUAGUUCAGUUUGGUUAUCUAUAAUGAAUACAGUAAAAACCUAACUAACAAGAUGGUCGAAAAUACGUUCCUGCUCCCAAGAUACUACCACCGUAGUGUCAAGCAUGCCAAGAACUCUUGUAACUUCAAAUCCAUUAUUAUUGUUCUGAUGGUGAGUGAUGGCGAUUUCCUGAGAGUUUAAGCUGACUGACAGCUUUUAAUUGCCUGAAAGUAAUUGAUUAACAAGCGAAACAAGGAGCGGAAGUUUUCCCUGGUGGAAGUUCUUUGAGGAGGCGAGCUCAUUUUCCGUGUUCCUUGAAAUCAGUUAACAUACUGAAUGAUGUUCUGGAAAUAUAAAGUUUAUAUAUAAAAAUCUCCCAAACUAGGCCAGUGACUGUAGGGAGUGGAACUGGUCAUCUAGCCAAGGACUUUUUCCGGAGGAUCGACAUUUGCAAAUACAAACUCCCUAUAAAGAUGGAUUAUUAGCAAGUGGAUGAAAGAACUGUCAACCUCAGUUGCUUCAGGAAUCAACUUUAGGAAUAUCUCUCUCCAGCUACAAAAUUAUCAAAAGUGCGUGCCUGGUAGUAGUUAUGGGAUUAUAAUGGAUGACAAACUUGAUUUGAAUGUUGUAAAAGUGGCCAAUUUUAUUAGGUACACAAUGUUCAUAAUUUCAAAGUUUUCAGAUGUUGAAGCGUCAAGUACCAAGGAUGUCCUAAAAUUUUAAUGCUUUUUCUUAAUGAAAUAUGUCGAUUUAUAUCACAAUUCGUUAAAUUUAGCUUACGUUAAGUGUUCAGAUAAUUGAAGACUAAUCUUAGAGUAGGUCCAAAUAAGGUGUUAGUGUUUGGUAAUUUUGAUACUGAGAACAAAUCUAGAAAAAAUUUUGAUACUGAGAACAAAUCUAGAAAAAGACUCGGAUCAGUUGUAGAAAUUCAGGGAG
This is a long non-coding RNA of Macrobrachium nipponense, 1042 nucleotides long. RefSeq lists it as uncharacterized. The record is from RefSeq and is a predicted model, not a curated record. The transcript has 3 exons. Lineage: Eukaryota; Metazoa; Arthropoda; Malacostraca; Decapoda; Palaemonidae.